Molecule: long non-coding RNA, 288 nt
Filed under: Ananas comosus (pineapple)
Lineage: Eukaryota; Viridiplantae; Streptophyta; Magnoliopsida; Poales; Bromeliaceae
Description: long non-coding RNA (ACOM_LNC035838)
Source: RNAcentral
AUUGUUUUCUUGCAGGCAUUGUAAUAGUUUUGCAUUAGUUGGUUCGCAAUCUAUCGUUUCUUGAAUUACAUAUGCCUGAGAUAGACCUAGUGGGCGAGUCGGCGCGGUCGGCGGCCGAACCCACUGGGAACUUCGUUCUAGUUCUCAUUACCACUAACCCUGCAGAUCCGUGCGCGAGCGGGGCGGCGGAGGAUCGAGGCAAGGGUAUUGCGCCGUAGAUAGCGGCCCUCGGAGUUUUAGGCAUACCCUAUACAUUUUGGUAUAUUCAACUUUUGUACGUUGAACUAG